Malaclemys terrapin pileata is the source of this 2369-nucleotide long non-coding RNA. RefSeq lists it as uncharacterized. The record is from RefSeq and is a predicted model, not a curated record. NCBI's taxonomy places the organism in Eukaryota, Metazoa, Chordata, Testudines, Emydidae. The transcript has 3 exons.
CUGGUAGCUGGGGGAGGCGGCCGGCCACCGCCUACGCUCGCGGGGUGAGGGUCGGCGCUGCCCCGCGGAGCUGGACGCGCCGAGUGACUGUUCUCGCCGCGUAGCACAGGGGGAAAGUCAAUGGCUGGGGGCGAGCCGGCUCUGCCCACGGGGACGCGACGGGCGUCUGGCCAGAGGGCGUAUUAAUGGGCCCCUGAAGAUGCAUUUCAUGUGAUGCGGGAGGCAGUGGCGCCUCAAAGAAGAAGAUGAGAUGAGCAAGCCAUCAGCCAACUGCUGAAGACUACAGGAGAGGAUGGAGUGGAUUGGUCCUUGGACCCUCCAGAUGACACCAAGGAAAGAAACCAUUUUGAAGCUGCCUCGUUCUUUGGUCUCUUCCUGUUAAACUUACAUAUAUUGAAAGAAAAGACAAGACAAAAUACAAUCUCUGCCAUGUAGAACACUGGGAACAAGGUUUCAGAGUGGUAGCUGUGUUAGUCUGUAUCAGCAAAAACAAGUAGUCCUUGUGGCACCUUAAAAACUAACAGAUUUAUUUGGGCAUAAGCUUUCAUGGGCUAGAACCCACUUCAUCAGAUGCAUCUCUAAAUUUGUUAAUCUCUAAGGUGCCACAGGACUCUUCGUUUUUACUGGGAACAAGCUAUUUCUCAUGAUUUUGUAACCAUCUAGCUAACUCUGGUUCUUCCUAAAGAGACUCACCUUUUCCUAAGGGAAGCUCUUAGCCAGCAAGAGCUAACUGCCCAUCCCCAACUAUUAUUCCCAACAGCUACGGAACCUUUCUUUUCCAACAUUCUGUGGAGCUCAUGCCAAAUUCUCUGUUCAAAGUUCCUCCUCAACUGCAGAUUUAAUAUUGAUGCUAAUUAGAUGUACUCUGAAGACAAACCAUCCUUCUGAACAACACUUACAGUUUGUAUCUCCAUUAACUUGAGGUCGCAGUAUUUAUGGAGCCAAUAGCCCUUCAUACUAAAUUUACUUCAAUAGGAGGUCUGAGUUUGGGAUCAGCAAUCUCCAGUUUCCAUCACUGGGGUUUGUUGAGCAGAAGGCAGAUCUUCAGUCCUUUCUCUGGUCAAGGCAAAAUCUCAACAAUCUUCCCAUUUCCUUCCAACUCUCAUAUUUAGACCUAACGGUAUCCAGGAAGCAGCUAGAAAGUUGCCAUGAGAAUUCAGAUAUCACUUUCUAGAAUGCUUUGAUGCUUUAGAGGCCUGCCCUUUCACAAUAAUUAGUAACAAAAUGUUAUGCAAUAUAUUGGCAGGGCAACAGCUCAGUUUAAUAACUCAGUGGCUUACUUUCAAAACUAGUAUCAGAGGGGUAGCCGUGUUAGUCUGAAUCUGUAAAAAAGCAACAGAGGGUCCUGUGGCACCUUUGAGACUAACAGAAGUAUUGGGAGCAUAAGCUUUCGUGGGUAAGAACCUCACUUCUUCAGAUGCUCCCAAUACUUCUGUUAGUCUCAAAGGUGCCACAGGACCCUCUGUUGCUUUCAAAACUAGUGCCAAAAUGUAAAAUCAAAUGCCAAAAAGUUGAUUUUUCAAAAUACCACACAUCAGCCAACUUUAGGGAACAUCUGCCUACUUAAUGUUGAAAUUUAAGCAAUUUAUUUUUUGGAGGGAAAAAAUCCCUCUAGGAAGAAUAUUUGCUUUUGUAUGUAUUUUACAGUGUAAUGAAACAAUUAUGUAACAGGUUGACAUUAUUGGAAAGAAAAACAGGAAAGAAUGACUUCAGACUAAAGAAGGGAGAGUUUAGUUGAGAUCAGAGAGAAACAUGUCCUUAUUGUAACAGCAAUUCAACAAUAGAACACCUUUGCACAUGAGGUCACUGAGACACUAUAAAUGAUGUUUAUAGAUUAGGUAAGACUCAGUAACUUUUAUGAUAGAUACAAUCCUUUGCAGACAUAAUGUUUAUUGUUGUGGGGGAAGGUGUAAAGAUUUUUUAAAAGCUGUUAGACUUAAAUAAGUGCAAGAACUGUGUGCUUUAGAAAAGCUAAAACUAUGAAAAACAGACACUGAGAGAAGAAAGAACAGGAGUACUUGUGGCACCUUAGAGACUAACAGAUUUAUUUGAACAUAAGCUUUCGUGGUCUCUAAGGUGUUUAACAAAUGCCUGUGCUAUUAAAAGCCAAAUUCUCACCUCUCAUGUUAUCUUGGUUUCAAGUCCUCUGCUUUGCUGCCUAGCCAUGCUUACUGUUGCCCCUGGACAUUUUCCUUACUUGUGCUUCCAGGAGCUACCAUGACUUCCAGCUAUCCCUGGAAUCUCCCUUGUGUGCCAUGAAUGGGAGGAAUGAGUCUGAUACAGAUGAGUAAAUAUCCUUUAAUUCUCUAUCCAGAUGUUUUGUUUUAUAGGGGUAACUUUUUAAUUUAAAAAUAAAUUAUAUAAAUCCA